CGCAGCCGCGGUAAUUCCAGCUCCAAUAGCGUAUAUUAAAGUUGCUGCAGUUAAAAAGCUCGUAGUUGAAUUUCGGGACCAUCAUGUCGGUCGUGCCUCGGUACGUACUGGCAUUGUUGGUUUCUACCUUCUGACGAACCAUGAUGUCAUUUAUUUGGUGUCGUGGGGAAUCAGGACUGUUACUUUGAAAAAUUAGAGUGUUUAAAGCAGGCUCACGCUCGAAUACAUUAGCAUGGAAUAAUGAAAUAGGACGUUUGAUUCUAUUUUGUUGGUUUCUAGGAUCGACGUAAUGAUUAAUAGGGAUAGUUGGGGGCAUUAGUAUUCAAUUGUCAGAGGUGAAAUUCUUGGAUUUAUUGAAGACUAACUACUGCGAAAGCAUUUGCCAAGGAUGUUUUCAUUAAUCAAGAACGAAAGUUAGGGGAUCGAAGACGAUCAGAUACCGUCGUAGUCUUAACCAUAAACUAUGCCGACUAGGGAUCGGAUGAUGUUAAUUUUUUAAUGACUCAUUCGGCGCCUUACG
Molecule: ribosomal RNA, 520 nt
Filed under: uncultured Glomus
Lineage: Eukaryota; Fungi; Glomeromycota; Glomeromycetes; Glomerales; Glomeraceae
Description: SSU rRNA
Rfam family: Eukaryotic small subunit ribosomal RNA
Source: RNAcentral